UACGGAGGCCCCAAGCGUUGUUCGGAUUUAUUGGGCGUAAAGGGUGCGUAGGCGGCAUCGUAAGUCUGGUGUGAAAGGCGUGGGCUCAACCCGCGGACUGCAUUGGAUACUGCGAUGCUAGAGGACUGGAGAGGAGAAUGGAAUUCACGGUGGAGCAGUGAAAUGCGUAGAUAUCGUGAGGAAGGCCAGUGGCGAAGGCGAUUCUCUGGACAGUACCUGACGCUGAGGCACGAAGGCUGGGGGAGCGAACAGG
Molecule: ribosomal RNA, 253 nt
Filed under: uncultured bacterium
Lineage: Bacteria
Description: partial 16S ribosomal RNA
Rfam family: Bacterial small subunit ribosomal RNA
Source: RNAcentral